CGCUUACUGCUGUGUUCGCCAGCCUGACGACAUAGUUUGCGGCGCCGAUGAACGUGCCAGGGGAGGACCUUCUCGUCCUGUCAAUAAUUCAAGCCCUCCCACUUCGUUGAGGGACGGGUUGGACAGGCCGGAAACCACCCACCUUGCUUAUCAAGGGUGCACAAACUGUUCAGCGCAGCGACACGAGUGGUUUGCUG
RNAcentral lists this non-coding RNA (197 nucleotides) under Planctomycetota bacterium. RNAcentral's name for it is "Planctomycetes bacterium (activated sludge metagenome) 6S RNA". It matches the Rfam family "6S / SsrS RNA". From Rfam's summary of the family: E. coli 6S RNA was the first non coding RNA to be sequenced, but its function was unknown until recently. It consists of 184 nucleotides that fold into an extended hairpin structure with a large single-stranded internal bulge. Lineage: Bacteria; Pseudomonadati; Planctomycetota. The record is from RNAcentral.